Brassica napus (rape) is the source of this 2059-nucleotide long non-coding RNA. RefSeq lists it as uncharacterized. The record is from RefSeq and is a predicted model, not a curated record. The transcript is spliced from 2 exons. NCBI's taxonomy places the organism in Eukaryota, Viridiplantae, Streptophyta, Magnoliopsida, Brassicales, Brassicaceae.
CUCUCUCUCUCCCUCUCCCUCUCUCUCUGUCUCUCUCGCUCUCGCUCUCUCUAAUUCAGAUUCAACUGCUUCUCACAAUAGCUACCUUUGUUGUUGUCAUUUUUUGGCCGCGAGUUUUUGGGAUAUUUCUCCUUGAAACUGUUUUUAGAGAUGAGGCAAUGUUCCAACGGUGGCAUUCGUAUAAUAGGUUUAUUUUUCCUAUUAUAAGAGAAUUUUUACCAUUGGUAUAAUGGAGCGUAAGGUUAAUCUCUUAAGUCAAUUCUCAAAGAUAAACAAAUUUGAACUUGAAACUAGUUUUUUUUUUAAUAAUAAUCUGCUAUGUUCAGAUUUAGAUGCACCAUAAGAGCAAACAAACAUUAAGAAACGGUCAGGGAAACACUUUUUGGAAUGAGUAAAGCCGAUAAUGGUGAUGUGUGAGAUGGUUAGGCUGUAAUAUAUCUGUAAGGUGUAGGUCUUCAUCGAUUCCAUAAGACUUAUUUAUAGGUCGAGCUCGUAUAUGUUACAGAAAACGUUCGUGAACCUGAAUAAAUGAGGCGAAGUGGGAGGAGAGGUGAGCUGGAGUUUAAUGACUGAAUUAAAGCAGGUGUUUUUGAAAAAGAGAAAACGUUACAGAAAAUCUAAUCGGAGACCAUGGCAAAUGAUAGGGUUAUGGGGUCGAAGAGGAAGGAGAAGACAAAACUAAUCUAAAGCGGACCACCGUUAUGAAAGUAGGAAUGACCCAAAAAUAACUAAAGGCUAUCAAUGUUUUGCACUAAACGAACAUAUUCAGAAAGAAUAAGAAGUUGUCUCUCUGCUCGACACGUGUUGAAAAAAGAGGAUAUGAAGGAUGAGGUGGUGCAUUAUGGAGAAUUUUUCUUCUACUUUAUUAUUAUCUAUCUAUAUCUCUAUAUAUAUAAUAGAAUUUACUCACUUUAUCAAUUAGUUUCAUGAGGUUCUGACACGUGUGCUAUUCAUUUUGUGUUUCGUAACUUAAGUUUACAUUUGUUUUUUAUGGGUUUCAUCAGUGUUCUGAUCGGGCCUCGUGUGAAUGGGUUAUUGAACUCCCAUCUCUUAAGCAAAGCUUCUUUUUCCGUGGAGACUUCGAUGUAACAGGUCAAAGGUCAUCGCCCGCAAAGUGCAAUCUGGGACGUUACACAAGUUUGUUGAUUCUAAGGGUCUUCUUUAACGCUCUCAUUAACAACAGCUCCCACUCUUCACACGAUCUGUCAAUCAAUGCAUCUAUUACUUCUAUUGUGAAUCUUGACUAUAAAUAGGUCAGCAUCAAUCUGUCAAAAUCAUAACGCUUGGAGACUCCAACGUUUGUUUCUGCUGAAAGCUUGCGGUGUUGAUGGAUUUCCGAUGAUACUGGCCAGUUGGAUGCACAUGAAUUUCACAAAAUCAGGGCAAAUUCCUUGCUUGGUUUGCACCGGUCAAGAGUUAAUUUGUCUCAGAAGAGAUCCUGAAGAAUGCACCAGUUCCUGCGAUUGUUCAUGCGAUUGUUUGCCAGAACUAUGUCGAUUUUGUUUUGUUUGGUAAAAUAUGAGUCACUUCCUCAGAUUUUUUUCUUCAUCAGAAGCCUACUAAGAAGGAACUAGUUCCUAAGAUUGUUCCAGUGGCAGCUUUGUGAUGUUCUUUACCUUAAGCAGUUGAAUCACUUGAAAAAGUAUUAAAGAAGAAGAAUUAAGUAAAUGGCAGAUUCAGUGCUGAAAAAAGUAUCAGCUGCAGUCACCAUUUGGAUUGGUUUUAGACGACAUAUCCACAGAUUUGGGUUUGUUCAUCAUAAAGAUCAGUUGGAUCUAUUAAACGAAGAUGAUACUAAAGCCGUCAACAAAAAACAAGUUGCAAGCAAAUGUUGAGAUUGGCAGAGGACAAAAUGACUUAAAACUAUAAGAAUCUUACAACUCUAAGUUGCAAGCUUUGUGAUGCUCUUUACCACAAGGAAGACAAGUAAAUUACGAUGUAGUUGGUUUGUUUUCAUUUAGUUGGUGUGCUUCUGAUUUUGUACAAAUUAUAGUGCAGCAAAUUUCUUAUGGAACAACAAAAGAUUCACAAUGUAUUUAAAAACAUAUUUAAAUUGACC